AUUGAACGCUGGCGACAUGCCUUACACAUGCCAGUCGAACGGCAGCACGGGGGCUCGCACCUGUUUGCUAGUGGCGGACGGACGAGUAAUACAUCGGUACGUGACCUGCUGUGGGGGAUAGCCCGGCGAAAGCCGGAUUAAUUCCGCAUACGUACCACGGCUGAAAGCGAGGGGCCUUCCGGCCUCGCGCUAUAGGUUUGGCCGACGCAGGAUUAGCUAGUUGGUGGGGUAAAGGCCUACCAAGGCGACGAUCAGUAGCUGGUCUGAGAGGACGACCAGUCACACUGGAACUGAGACACGGCCCAGACUCCUACGGGAGGCAGCAGUGGGGAAUAUUGGACAAUGGGCGAAAGCCUGAUGCAGCAAUGCCGCGUGUGUGAAGAAGGCCUUCGGGUUGUAAAGCACUUUUGGCGGGGAGGAAGUCCUUGACGCUAAUACGGUCGGGGAAUGACGGUACCGGAAGAAUAAGCACCGGCUAACUACGUG
Molecule: ribosomal RNA, 486 nt
Filed under: uncultured bacterium
Lineage: Bacteria
Description: partial 16S ribosomal RNA
Rfam family: Bacterial small subunit ribosomal RNA
Source: RNAcentral